RNAcentral lists this long non-coding RNA (476 nucleotides) under Capra hircus (goat). RNAcentral's name for it is "lncRNA (ENSCHIG00000001795.1)". Lineage: Eukaryota; Metazoa; Chordata; Mammalia; Artiodactyla; Bovidae. The record is from RNAcentral.
GGAGCCGCGGCCCGCGCACCGCCCGCCGCGCGCCGCUCUCCUCCGGGGCCCGCCCCGCGCUGCGCCCCGCGCUUCCGCUCGCAGCGGCUCCGGCCCCGAGACCUGGUCCCAUCCCCGCGGCGGGGAUGCUGAGCUGCGCGCGGGCAGAGGCGCCCGAGACCACGUGACUCUCCAUCUAACCCAACCGAAAAGCGAAAGGAGCCUUCCCACGGGAAGGAUCAAGCCCUUGAAGCUGCAGUGUAAUGUUUUACCGGUGUCGUCGUCAUUGGAGGACUUUCACGCCUGGCUGGUGGUCCUGAUGGUCCGGCUGAGGAUAAGUGGGGUGCUUUUGUUCUGUGCUCUAGAGAAUAAAUUUUUCAUUCACGAUAGACUACUGGUUACCAGCACUGCCGGCCUGUUCCCUCUGAAUUAUUACGCAAAAUGAUUAAAAUGUACUUGGUUAAAGUGCUUGUUGCUCUAAUAUACUAAACCCAGAU